This is a long non-coding RNA of Macrobrachium nipponense, 2143 nucleotides long. RefSeq lists it as uncharacterized. Lineage: Eukaryota; Metazoa; Arthropoda; Malacostraca; Decapoda; Palaemonidae. The record is from RefSeq and is a predicted model, not a curated record. The transcript is spliced from 4 exons.
UAGUCUCACUUCCGACUCUCCUUCCCUUACAUCACUUCGACACGAGGUGUCUCAGGCUAAUGUGUCUGUACCAUACCAUCGGAAUUCUGUGUCUAAAGCCAACGCUUUUUUUUUUUUUUUUUUAUUAUUGAGAAAUUACGAGAAUGUGUCGUCACUUCCCUUGGAAGGAAGAACCUGACCCCACAAGGUGUUGACACAAGUCCAAUUAAGAAUAGGAGGAUGGAGACCUUUGUCAAGAAUAUGUACAAACUAAGAAUAUGCACACGAAGAAGCAAUUGUGUUUGUAAAGGAUCCUUGGAGAGCGCAGCUACUUGACCCACGUAGAGAAAUAUCGAGGACUUCUUCCUAAGAAACAUGUCAACAAACCGUAACUUCACAUUCAAACGCGAAGUGAUGUUGCGUUCUCCGUUCACCAGCCACCAUUGCGAGCAUAUAAUCGUAUUCUUGACAAACAGGAACUUUUUAUAUGAGUGUUACUGAGAUUUAUGUUUUGCUGUUUGAAAUUCUAGGGAAAUUUUAAGAUUGUGGACAUUUUUAUAUAUCAUUUUGUGUAAGUGACUUGCUUGAAUAUUGAAGCUUCAGUUCUUCGAAGGAAAAUCAUCUCCACUUACUUGCUAUCACAGAAAAUGAACUGCACAUUAAUUAUUAUGAUAAGGAAGUUCUUUGCAGAUUAAUUGCUGGUGUUUAAAAAUAUUUUAUUCAUUUACAUAGCUGUUUAUAAAAAUGAGAAUAUGUAACUUUUUUUCACUUCUUCCAAACAAGUUAUACUUAGUCUGUUUAGCUCAAAUGUUUUUUUUGUUCAUGUAAAGUAAUCUGUUCUCGUUAUCCCGUCGUACCCUUCAUCUGUAUUUUAUUUGCUCAGUCAUAUGCUAUUCUGUUAGGUCUAAAUCCGCUGGACUGUUGCUGUGGAAACCAGUAUUUGCAUUUGGUAGCCGUGAUCCUAAGACUUGCUCUUACCUGUUUUGUGAACGUUUGGUGUGAUUCUUGAAGUAAGAUUGAAUAGAAUUAUAUAUAUUUCAUUUUCACUUUAAUACGCAAAAAUGCCAUGUCACAUACAACCUUCCUGGAAAUUCUUUUGCUUUUUCUGAUUUUAUUUGUAAUGAUUAUUUAGAGAAGUUUUUUUGGUCCUGAUUGGAACCACUUUGUAAAACGUACAUACCUUAUUAUAUUUAUUUCAGUGGUAAUAUUUCUUUAUAAGGUAAUUUUCAAAAGGCAUACCAGUGUCAAAAAUAUUAAUUAAUAUCAGUCUGCUGUGGUAACAAUGACCGAAUUCUAUUAAGAUAGUUUUCCUCGAGCUAUAUUUGUAUAUUCAUUUAUUUUGGGGAAUAAAAACCUCACAUUUACUUGAUGACCUUUAUUGAAAAUAAAAUGUUUCUUCAUAUAUAUAUUUUAUUUAUCCGAAUUAAUUAAUUCGGUUAUAAACAUUAACAGUGGCUUCUGGAAUCUGUGACUGAUAGGUGAAAUAAUUAUGUAUUAUUAUAAAUAGACUUGAUUUUUACAUCAGGCUGUUGUAAAUUAGUCGCCUUGAUUGAGAUGAAUAAAGUUUCUGUCCUGAGUAUAUAAGGUUUCAUGAAAAUAAAUUUUGAUGUUAUAUUUAUCACUCAACCAACGAAAUUCAGAAAUAUUUCAUUAUCCUUUUUUCCUUUCUUGAAACAAUGCAACUAGUUUAACAUGAAUUUUUUAUGUACUAUACAUUUCUUCUCGUCUUUCGUUAUUAUUCCUGUUUUCUCUUGUUUCCAUUAUUUACACUUUCAUAUAUGUCUUCAUAAUUUAUAGUUCUGACUUUUGAUUCCUUCGUAUUUUUGCCUGCUGGACACAGUGGUCAUUUCGUUUUCCCUACGAACAAUUUCUAGGAAUUUUUCCACAGUUAAUUAAAAUCACUUUCGCUGAUUCCCAUAAUUUUCUUUUUCCUUAAACCUCCUUUCUCCUCGUCUCCGGAGGUAGAAACCAUUUUGCUAUCUUUUGACCAGGACAUGCCGUUGCUUCUCUAAACUUUUUGUUUUUCUCCCUGCAGAAACAUUUCUUCCUCGGUUGUCGCUUAUAUUUCUCUUUUUAUCUUUUUCUCGUCUGUUCUUCUUCUUUCAUCCACUCCCAUAUAUAUAAGAGUAAAUUAUAUAUUUACAACAACAUUUGGGGUUCUCGU